AGAGCGAACGCUGGCGGCAGGCUUAACACAUGCAAGUCGAGCGGGCGUAGCAAUACGUCAGCGGCAGACGGGUGAGUAACGCGUGGGAACAUACCUUUUGGUUCGGAACAACACAGGGAAACUUGUGCUAAUACCGGAUAAGCCCUUACGGGGAAAGAUUUAUCGCCGAAAGAUUGGCCCGCGUCUGAUUAGCUAGUUGGUGAGGUAAUGGCUCACCAAGGCGACGAUCAGUAGCUGGUCUGAGAGGAUGAUCAGCCACAUUGGGACUGAGACACGGCCCAAAACUCCUACGGGAGGCAGCAGUGGGGAAUAUUGGACAAUGGGCGCAAGCCUGAUCCAGCCAUGCCGCGUGAGUGAUGGAAGGCCCUAGGGUUGUAAAAGGCUCUUUUGUGCGGGAAGAUAAUGACGGUACGCAAGAAUAAGCCCCGGAUAACUUCGCGCCAGCAGCCGC
RNAcentral lists this ribosomal RNA (451 nucleotides) under uncultured bacterium. RNAcentral's name for it is "SSU rRNA". It matches the Rfam family "Bacterial small subunit ribosomal RNA", at positions 26 to 518 of the family's 1533-position model. The record is from RNAcentral.